RNAcentral lists this ribosomal RNA (253 nucleotides) under uncultured bacterium. RNAcentral's name for it is "partial 16S ribosomal RNA". It matches the Rfam family "Bacterial small subunit ribosomal RNA", at positions 524 to 776 of the family's 1533-position model. The record is from RNAcentral.
GACGGAGGGUGCGAGCGUUGUUCGGAAUCACUGGGCGUAAAGCGCGUGUAGGCGGUUUGGUAAGUCGAGUGUGAAAGCCCGAGGCUCAACCUCGGAAGUGCACUCGAAACUGUCAGGCUUGAGUACGGGAGAGGGAAGUGGAAUUCCUGGUGUAGAGGUGAAAUUCGUAGAUAUCAGGAGGAACACCGGUGGCGAAGGCGGCUUCCUGGACCGAUACUGACGCUGAGACGCGAAAGCGUGGGGAGCAAACAGG